This 489-nucleotide ribosomal RNA is filed under the name uncultured Gemmatimonas sp. RNAcentral describes it as "bacterial SSU rRNA". It matches the Rfam family "Bacterial small subunit ribosomal RNA", at positions 127 to 617 of the family's 1533-position model. Lineage: Bacteria; Pseudomonadati; Gemmatimonadota; Gemmatimonadia; Gemmatimonadales; Gemmatimonadaceae. The record is from RNAcentral.
UUCCGAUUAGUGGGGGAUAGCCGGCCUAACGGCCGGGUAAUACCGCAUACGAUCACCGGGCGGCAUCGUCUGGUGAGGAAACCUCCGGGGCUAAUCGAGGCGCUCGCGGCCUAUCAGCUAGUUGGCGGGGUAAUGGCCCACCAAGGCGAUGACGGGUAGCUGGUCUGAGAGGAUGGCCAGCCACAUUGGGACUGAGACACGGCCCAGACUCCUACGGGAGGCAGCAGUGGGGAAUAUUGCGCAAUGGACGAAAGUCUGACGCAGCGACGCCGCGUGUGGGAUGAAGCCUUUCGGGGCGUAAACCACUGUUGCCCGGGACGAAUCUCCCCUUUCGAGGGGAUUGACGGUACCGGGUGAGGAAGCACCGGCUAACUCUGUGCCAGCAGCCGCGGUAAUACAGAGGGUGCGAGCGUUGUCCGGAAUCACUGGGCGUAAAGGGCGCGUAGGUGGCUUGGUAAGCGUGUGGUGAAAGUCCGGGGCUCAACCCCG